Carlito syrichta (Philippine tarsier) is the source of this 107-nucleotide small nuclear RNA. The record is from Ensembl. Lineage: Eukaryota; Metazoa; Chordata; Mammalia; Primates; Tarsiidae.
CUGCUCACUUUGGCAGCACAUAUACUAAAACUGGAAUGAUACAGAGAAGAUUAGCAUGGCCCCUGCACAAGGAUGACAUGCAAAUUCGUGAAGCUCCAUAUUUUUUA